GUGCUUGCUUCGGCAGCACAUAUACUACAAUUAGAAUGACACAGAGAAGAUUAGUGUGGCCCUUGCGCAAGGAUGACACGCAAAUUCGUUGAAGUGUUCCAUAUUUUU
Molecule: small nuclear RNA, 108 nt
Organism: Nycticebus coucang (slow loris)
Lineage: Eukaryota; Metazoa; Chordata; Mammalia; Primates; Lorisidae
Source: RefSeq, a predicted model, not a curated record